CCCUAUCUGUCGUGGGCGUAGGAAGUUUGAGUAGAUUAGUCCCUAGUACGAGAGGACCGGGAUUAACAGAGCAAUGGUCUAUCGGUUGUCGCGCCAGCGGCAUGGCCGAGUAGCUACCUCUGGACAGGAUAAACGCUGAAAGCAUCUAAGCGUGAAACCAACUAUAAGAUGAGACUUCCCAUUCGAAAGAAGUAAGAGCCCUCCAAUGUUAGGAGGUUGAUAGGUCAGAAGUGUAAGCGUGGCGACACGUUCAGCUGACUGAUACUAAUAGCUCGAGGACUUAAUUUC
Molecule: ribosomal RNA, 288 nt
Filed under: Bacilli bacterium
Lineage: Bacteria; Bacillati; Bacillota; Bacilli
Description: partial 23S ribosomal RNA
Rfam family: Bacterial large subunit ribosomal RNA
Source: RNAcentral